Molecule: ribosomal RNA, 328 nt
Filed under: uncultured Bacteroidota bacterium
Lineage: Bacteria; Pseudomonadati; Bacteroidota
Description: bacterial SSU rRNA
Rfam family: Bacterial small subunit ribosomal RNA
Source: RNAcentral
GAUGAACGCUAGCGGGAGGCUUAACACAUGCAAGUCGAGGGGCAGCAUGGAGUAGCAAUACUCUGAUGGCGACCGGCAGACGGGUGAGUAACGCGUAUGUAACCUACCCUGUACAGGGGGAUAACCCGGAGAAAUUCGGACUAAUACCCCAUGGAAAUAUUGAGAGGCAUCUUGAGAUAUUUAAAGCUCAGGCGGUACGGGAUGGGCAUGCGGAACAUUAGCUAGUUGGCAGGGUAACGGCCUACCAAGGCUGCGAUGUUUAGGGAACCUGAGAGGGUGAACCCCCACACUGGUACUGAGACACGGACCAGACUCCUACGGGUGGCUG